GUUUUUCGAUUCUCUAGUUUUCAAGUGUUUUUGUCUUUGAUUUGUGCCGUCGAGAUGUCGUCAGAAUAGGAGCAAAAAUGGAGAGGAAAAGAUAGAGGAAACGAUGAUGAAAAAAAGAAAAAGACCGGAGCAAUUUGUGGAGCAAUAGUUAGCUCUUUCUCUUGUCUAAGCACAGAAAAGAGACAUUGAUGGUGCUCUCUGCCACCAGGUUUGGAAAACCGACUCGAUUAGAGAGGAGGAAUGUCUCUUUUGGAAUGUGUAGCAACAUGCAAACCAAUUGUUUCUUUUAUGGAAAAAAAAGAAUAGAAGAGGAAAUGCGAGAUGAAGGAAAAAAAUGAAGAAGCAGGAAAGGUUUAAACAUCUUCCAGGUCAUAUUCUUUAUUAUUU
This is a non-coding RNA of Caenorhabditis elegans, 387 nucleotides long. The record is from Ensembl. Lineage: Eukaryota; Metazoa; Nematoda; Chromadorea; Rhabditida; Rhabditidae.